This 500-nucleotide ribosomal RNA is filed under the name uncultured bacterium. RNAcentral's name for it is "partial 16S ribosomal RNA". It matches the Rfam family "Bacterial small subunit ribosomal RNA", at positions 30 to 523 of the family's 1533-position model. The record is from RNAcentral.
AUUGAACGCUGGCGGAAUGCUUUACACAUGCAAGUCGAACGGCAGCACGGACUUCGGUCUGGUGGCGAGUGGCGAACGGGUGAGUAAUGUAUCGGAACGUGCCCAGUCGUGGGGGAUAACGUAGUAAAAAUUACGCUAAUACCGCAUACGAUCUAUGGAUGAAAGCGGGGGAUCGCAAGACCUCGCGCGAUUGGAGCGGCCGAUAUCAGAUUAGGUAGUUGGUGGGGUAAAGGCCCACCAAGCCAACGAUCUGUAGCUGGUCUGAGAGGACGACCAGCCACACUGGAACUGAGACACGGUCCAGACUCCUACGGGAGGCAGCAGUGGGGAAUUUUGGACAAUGGGCGAAAGCCUGAUCCAGCCAUUCCGCGUGCAGGAUGAAGGCCCUCGGGUUGUAAACUGCUUUUGUACAGAACGAAAAGGCUUCUACUAAUACUAGGAGCUCAUGACGGUACUGUAAGAAUAAGCACCGGCUAACUACGUGCCAGCAGCCGCCGUAA